UGGAUAGCCCAGCUGGUUAGAGCAUGGUGCUGAUAACACCAAGGUUGCGGGUUCGAUCCCCAAAUGGGACAG
Podarcis lilfordi (Lilford's wall lizard) is the source of this 72-nucleotide non-coding RNA. Lineage: Eukaryota; Metazoa; Chordata; Lepidosauria; Squamata; Lacertidae. The record is from the annotation of a GenBank genome assembly.